Molecule: long non-coding RNA, 718 nt
Organism: Gossypium arboreum
Lineage: Eukaryota; Viridiplantae; Streptophyta; Magnoliopsida; Malvales; Malvaceae
Exons: 4
Source: RefSeq, a predicted model, not a curated record
UUACAUAAUCAUUUCUAAGGGGCUUUUUCUACGGUGAAGCCUACCUAGUUGAGAUCGCGCGAUAUCCCUAGGAGUCGGUUGUCGAACGAUAUGUUGCCAUUGGCAACUUCUAGGAAGGGGCCGCGGGAAGAGAAUUUCAAGUAAAUAAAAAAAAAAAGAACUAAGCUCCUCACUCCUCUCACCCUAUUCUUAUACAUUCUUCAUCGUUUCGCAUCGCACAUCACAUUCGGAAGGAAAAAGGACCCAUCACCAUGGCCAGAAGGGAGUUGAAUAUCAAGGGAAGAAGAAUCAAGAAAGCUGAGAAGAAAAUAAAAGAGAUGAAAGCCUCGACAGAAGAAAUGAGAAAUGAGAUGACCCAUCUGAUAAACUUGGCUGAGAAUUGUCAUAAUGCGUUCCUCCAAAUUAGGGAAGCAGUUCAUCCACUAAUCUUGGCUGCUCAGUCGUUGGAUGCUCAAGUCGAUGAACUGGUUUCUGCCUUCCUUGCUCAAAACCACAAAGAUUGAUCACUUCUCUUCCUGUUUGCGGUGGGUGCUUGGAGGGGUUAGAUCAGCUGGUAUUGUGGAAGGAUUUUUGUGAUGCUUUUAAGCUUCUAUAACGUGGCUUCUUUUUAGUGUUUCUUAGUGGAAAUAAACAAGUGUGCUAUGAAUUUUAUUCUAAUGUUGUUUUUGUGUAUGAUCACUGGACAUAUUAUAUGAUGGAAUUGCAGUUUUUAAUAUGA